Acanthosepion pharaonis is the source of this 90-nucleotide non-coding RNA. The record is from the annotation of a GenBank genome assembly. NCBI's taxonomy places the organism in Eukaryota, Metazoa, Mollusca, Cephalopoda, Sepiida, Sepiidae.
UCACCCGUUCCCAUCCGAUCACAGAAAAGCAACGUCGAACUUGGUCAGUACCUAGAUGGGUGACCAGUUGAGAAUACCAGGUGUUGUAAG